GAGCUAAUGAUAACUACGGCACAAGUUUAUGAUAUGCAAAUUGUGACGGAAGGAAAUACAUCCUAUACGAAGGAAACUAACGAUACGAAAGAUUUUUAUUCAGAAGCUUGUCAAAAGAUUCCGAUUACAGUUGGAGUCCAGAGAGAUCAAAAUCUCAAGUUACGAGCAAAACAACGAUUCUUAGAUCUGACUUCAGUCCUGAAAUCCGCGUGGGCUUUCAUAGAUCUGUUUCGCUCCAACAGAGGCUCUGGGGUGGAUCUGAUUUAG
Molecule: long non-coding RNA, 267 nt
Filed under: Bemisia tabaci
Lineage: Eukaryota; Metazoa; Arthropoda; Insecta; Hemiptera; Aleyrodidae
Description: lncRNA ENSSSA3NGG001705
Source: RNAcentral